This 832-nucleotide long non-coding RNA is filed under the name Mytilus galloprovincialis (Mediterranean mussel). Lineage: Eukaryota; Metazoa; Mollusca; Bivalvia; Mytilida; Mytilidae. The record is from RNAcentral.
ACGGGCGUAUGACAUUUGCGCCGAUUUUGAAAAUUUUCAUUCUUUCAUUUGCGCCGAUUUCAUUUUUUCAUUUGCGCCGAUUUUAUAUUUUUCCUAAUUGGAUUUACAGGUAAGUUACAGGUAAGUUUAUACUUUUAUAUUGGCUGAGCACAGAGUAUAAAGACAAAUCAAGUGACAUUGCAAUUGGUAAAUGGCUAUCCCAAUGUUUCAGGUUACCAUUCCUUUCCCUAAAUGAAAUCGAUGACUGCUUCACGUUUGACAUUGUCUGACGCUCCGCUCCUUCUGAUGACAAAUGUCAUACAUUCUUAGACAACGUGCAAGUACACAUUCCAUAACGGUCAACUAAUUCGCCAAAUAUAGAAGAUGCGAAAUCAUAAGAAAGGAAUAUAUUAGAUGUGUUGCCUAAACAUACUCGGUAAGAACAGAUUUAUGAUUUGAAUGUAUUCCGAUUUUAUGGAUUUGAAUGCUGCACAUAUAUUUUUAAUUGGUCAUUUAAGUAUAAACAAAGUGCUUAAAAUUAUCUUAGGUUUUUACUUCUUGAUUUUAAGCAGGAGACAACAGUUUUAUACAUGUUAUGAUUGACAAUUCAUAACAUAUGUACAACUGGCUAACAGAAGAGGUCUUUAAUGAUAAAUGAAAAUAACAUUACUGGGAUGGAGAGUUGUCUCAUUGGCACUCAUACCACAUCUUCUUAUAUCAUUUCAUCUGUAAUUUACCUGUUAUUUACCUGUUAAAAAAAAUCGGCGCAAAUGAAAAAAAAAAUCGGCGCAAAUGAAAGAAAAAAUCGGCGCAAAUGAAAUGCAGAUCGGCGCAAAUGCAAAACGCCGAGAUG